Molecule: ribosomal RNA, 2647 nt
Filed under: Clostridioides difficile
Lineage: Bacteria; Bacillati; Bacillota; Clostridia; Peptostreptococcales; Peptostreptococcaceae
Description: bacterial LSU rRNA
Rfam family: Bacterial large subunit ribosomal RNA
Source: RNAcentral
UCAAGUUAUUAAGGGUGCAGGGCGGAUGCCUUGGCACUAGGAGCCGAUGAAGGACGUGAUAAGCUGCGAUAAGCUUCGGGGAGUUGCACGUAAACUUUGAUCCGAAGAUUUCCGAAUGAGGAAACUCACUUAGAGUAAUGUCUAAGUAUCAUUAAGUGAAUACAUAGCUUAAUGAGGGGAACUCAGGGAACUGAAACAUCUAAGUACCUGAAGGAAGAGAAAGAAAUUCGAUUCCGUAAGUAGCGGCGAGCGAACGCGGAUUAGCCCAAACCAAUAAAGUUUUCUUUAUUGGGGUUGCGGACAUAUCAUAACGAAGAGGUAUCGUAAUUGAAGAGGUUUGGAAAGACCCACCACAGAAGGUAAUAGUCCUGUAUGUUAAACGAGAAGACUUUAGAUAUGAUCCAGAGUACCACGGGACACGUGAAACCCUGUGGGAAGCAGGAGGGACCACCCUCCAAGGCUAAAUACUACCUAGUGACCGAUAGCGUAUAGUACCGUGAGGGAAAGGUGAAAAGAACCCCGGGAGGGGAGUGAAAUAGAACCUGAAACCCUGCACUUACAAGCUGUGGAAGCACAUUUCUUGUGUGACCGCGUACUUUUUGUAGAACGGGCCAACGAGUUACGUUAAGUAGCAAGGUUAAGCACUUAAGGUGCGGAGCCGUAGCGAAAGCGAGUUUUAACUGAGCGUUCAGUUACUUGACGUAGACCCGAAACCGGGCGACCUACCCAUGAGCAGGAUGAAGCGAAAGUAAAAUUUCGUGGAGGUCCGAACCCACGAGCGUUGAAAAGCUCGGGGAUGACUUGUGGGUAGCGGUGAAAUUCCAAUCGAGCCCGGAGAUAGCUGGUUCUCCCCGAAAUAGCUUUAGGGCUAGCCUCAAGGUGAGAGAUACGGAGGUAGAGCACUGAAUGUCCUAGGGGGUAUUGCACCUACCGAAGACUAUCAAACUCCGAAUGCCGUCAUCUUAUACUUGGGAGUCAGACUGUGGGUGAUAAGAUUCAUAGUCGAAAGGGCAACAGCCCAGAUCGUCAGCUAAGGUCCCUAAAUGUAAGUUAAGUGGUAAAGGAUGUGGGAUUGCACAGACAACCAGGAUGUUGGCUUAGAAGCAGCCACUCAUUCAAAGAGUGCGUAAUAGCUCACUGGUCGAGUGAUCCUGCGCCGAAGAUUUCCGGGGCUAAAACUUACUACCGAAGCUACGGCAUCAGUAAUGAUGGGUAGGGGAGCUUCCCAUACGGGUUGAAGCAUGACCGUAAGGACAUGUGGACAGUAUGGGAGUGAGAAUGUUGGCAUGAGUAGCGAGAUGUGGGUGAGAAUCCCACAGGCCGUAAACCCAAGGUUUCCAGGGGAAGGUUCGUCCGCCCUGGGUUAGUCGGGACCUAAGCUGAGGCCGAAAGGCGUAGGUGAUGGACAACAGGUUGAUAUUCCUGUACUACCGAUAACCGUUUGAGAGAAGGGAUGACACAGUAGGAUAAGCUAAGCACACUGUUGGUUAUGUGUGCCCAAGCAUUGAGGCAGUCAAAGUAGGCAAAUCCGCUUUGAUAAUGCUGGGAUGUGAUGGGGAGCGAAAUUUAGUAGCGAAGUAGCUGAUUUCACACUGUCAAGAAAAGUCUCUAUCGAGGUUAAAGGUACCCGUACCGCAAACCGACACAGGUGGGUGAGGAGAGUAUCCUAAGGCCAGCGAGAGAACUGUUGUUAAGGAACUCGGCAAAAUGACCCCGUAACUUAGGGAUAAGGGGUGCCACCAUCAGGUGGCCGCAGAGAAUAGGCCCAAGCGACUGUUUACCAAAAACAUAGGUUUCUGCUAAGUCGCAAGACGAUGUAUAGGAGCUGACGCCUGCCCGGUGCUGGAAGGUUAAGGGGAUCUGUUAGAGCAAUCGAAGCAGUGAACUUAAGCCCCAGUAAACGGCGGCCGUAACUAUAACGGUCCUAAGGUAGCGAAAUUCCUUGUCGGGUAAGUUCCGACCCGCACGAAAGGCGUAACGAUUUGGGCACUGUCUCAACAACAGACUCGGUGAAAUUGUAAUUCCGGUGAAGAUGCCGGAUACCUGCGACAGGACGGAAAGACCCCAUGGAGCUUUACUGUAGCUUGACAUUGGGUCUUGGUACUACAUGUACAGGAUAGGUGGGAGGCUUUGAAACCAGGACGCCAGUUUUGGCGGAGCCAUCCUUGGGAUACCACCCUUGUAGUACUGGGACUCUAACCAUAGGCCAUGAAUCUGGUCUUGGGACACUGUCAGGUGGGCAGUUUGACUGGGGCGGUCGCCUCCCAAAAGGUAACGGAGGCGCUCAAAGGUUCUCUCAGUACGGUCGGAAAUCGUACGUAGAGUGUAAAGGCAAAAGAGAGCUUGAUUGCAAGACAUACAGGUCGAGCAAGGAUGAAAAUCGGACUUAGUGAUCCGGUGGUUCUGCGUGGAAGGGCCAUCGCUCAACGGAUAAAAGCUACCCUGGGGAUAACAGGCUUAUCUCCCCCAAGAGUCCACAUCGACGGGGAGGUUUGGCACCUCGAUGUCGGCUCAUCACAUCCUGGGGCUGUAGUAGGUCCCAAGGGUUGGGCUGUUCGCCCAUUAAAGUGGUACGCGAGCUGGGUUCAGAACGUCGUGAGACAGUUCGGUCCCUAUCCGUCGCAGGCGUAGGAAAUUUGAGAAGACC